RNAcentral lists this long non-coding RNA (203 nucleotides) under Lathyrus oleraceus (garden pea). RNAcentral describes it as "Pisum sativum (pea) long non-coding RNA (PSAT_LNC007966)". Lineage: Eukaryota; Viridiplantae; Streptophyta; Magnoliopsida; Fabales; Fabaceae. The record is from RNAcentral.
UCCUUUUCCUUUCUUUUUGUAUUUCAUUUCUUUUCCUUAAAACAUUGGGGACAAUGUUUCAUUUAAGUAUGGGGGGGAAAACCGUGUUCUUUCUAUCCUCCUUUUUCCUUUUUUCAAGUAUGUACCUUUCUUUUCAUUGUUAUUUCCCUUAUAAAAAAAAAUAUUUCUUAUAAUAUAGAUUUAUUUUAAGUUAAGUCCCAAGU